RNAcentral lists this ribosomal RNA (467 nucleotides) under uncultured bacterium. RNAcentral's name for it is "partial 16S ribosomal RNA". It matches the Rfam family "Bacterial small subunit ribosomal RNA", at positions 28 to 506 of the family's 1533-position model. The record is from RNAcentral.
GACGAACGCUGGCGGCGUGCUUAACACAUGCAGGUCGAACGGAAAGGCCCUGCUUUUGUGGGGUGCUCGAGUGGCGAACGGGUGAGUAACACGUGAGUAACCUGCCCCUGACUUUGGGAUAACUUCAGGAAACUGGGGCUAAUACCGGAUAGGAGCUCCUGCUGCAUGGUGGGGGUUGGAAAGUUUCGGCGGUUGGGGAUGGACUCGCGGCUUAUCAGCUUGUUGGUGGGGUAGUGGCUUACCAAGGCUUUGACGGGUAGCCGGCCUGAGAGGGUGACCGGCCACAUUGGGACUGAGAUACGGCCCAGACUCCUACGGGAGGCAGCAGUGGGGAAUAUUGCACAAUGGGCGGAAGCCUGAUGCAGCAACGCCGCGUGCGGGAUGACGGCCUUCGGGUUGUAAACCGCUUUCGCCUGUGACGAAGCGUGAGUGACGGUAAUGGGUAAAGAAGCACCGGCUAACUACGU